RNAcentral lists this ribosomal RNA (301 nucleotides) under uncultured bacterium. RNAcentral describes it as "partial 16S ribosomal RNA". It matches the Rfam family "Bacterial small subunit ribosomal RNA", at positions 509 to 807 of the family's 1533-position model. The record is from RNAcentral.
CAGUAGCCACGGUAAAACGAAGGGUGCAAGCGUUAAUCGGAAUUACUGGGUUUAAAGGGUGCGUAGGCGGGCAGGUAAGUCAGUGGUGAAAUCUUCGAGCUUAACUCGGAAACUGCCGUUGAUACUAUCUGUCUUGAAUAACGUUGAGGUGAGCGGAAUAUGUCAUGUAGCGGUGAAAUGCUUAGAUAUGACAUAGAACACCGAUUGCGAAGGCAGCUCACUAAACGCUCAUUGACGUUGAGGCACGAAAGCGUGGGGAUCAAACAGGAUUAGAUACCCCUGUAGUCCCUGUCUCUUAUAC